This 57-nucleotide transfer RNA is filed under the name Bos taurus (domestic cattle). It matches the Rfam family "tRNA", at positions 8 to 63 of the family's 71-position model. From Rfam's summary of the family: Transfer RNA (tRNA) molecules are approximately 80 nucleotides in length. Their secondary structure includes four short double-helical elements and three loops (D, anti-codon, and T loops). Lineage: Eukaryota; Metazoa; Chordata; Mammalia; Artiodactyla; Bovidae. The record is from Rfam by way of RNAcentral.
UGGCUCAGAGAGUAAAGUGUCUGCCUGCAAUGCGGAAGACCCAGGUUCGAUCCCUGG